RNAcentral lists this ribosomal RNA (132 nucleotides) under uncultured bacterium. RNAcentral describes it as "partial 16S ribosomal RNA". It matches the Rfam family "Bacterial small subunit ribosomal RNA", at positions 222 to 353 of the family's 1533-position model. The record is from RNAcentral.
UGGAUGUGCCCAGAUGGGAUUAGCUGUUGGUGGGGUAACGGCUCACCAGGCGACGAUCCCUAGCUGGUCUGAGAGGAUGACCAGCCACACUGGAACUGAGACACGGUCCAGACUCCUACGGGAGGCAGCAUG